Molecule: non-coding RNA, 82 nt
Organism: Ceratotherium simum simum (southern white rhinoceros)
Lineage: Eukaryota; Metazoa; Chordata; Mammalia; Perissodactyla; Rhinocerotidae
Source: RefSeq, a predicted model, not a curated record
AAUGUGGUCACCAGGGACUGAGGCGUGGGGGAAAUAGAGAGAGGCUGGUAAAAGGCACAGACUUUCUCCUUUCAGAUGAGAA